UUUCAAAUUUUCCAAUUUUCCAAGUUGCUUUAUUUUCCAAUUACCCAAAUUUCCAAUUUCCAAUUUCCAAAUUUCCUAUUUUCCAAGUGUCCUUUUUUCCUUUUUCCAAUUUUCCAAUUUUCCAAGUGUCAUUUUAUCCUAUUGCCUAGUUUCCUCUUUCCAAUUUUUCCUUUUUUCCUAUUUCCAAUUUUCCAAAUUUCCCAAAUUUCCAACUUUCCAUUUUUUCGUAUUUCCGAUUUGCCAAUUUUCCUUUUGUUCUAUUUCCAAUUUUCCAAGUUUCCUUAUUUCCCA
RNAcentral lists this long non-coding RNA (291 nucleotides) under Prunus persica (peach). RNAcentral describes it as "long non-coding RNA (PPER_LNC004813)". The record is from RNAcentral. Lineage: Eukaryota; Viridiplantae; Streptophyta; Magnoliopsida; Rosales; Rosaceae.